This 332-nucleotide ribosomal RNA is filed under the name uncultured bacterium. RNAcentral describes it as "bacterial SSU rRNA". It matches the Rfam family "Bacterial small subunit ribosomal RNA", at positions 568 to 898 of the family's 1533-position model. The record is from RNAcentral.
CGUGUAGGCGGUCGGUCAAGUCCGGUGUGAAAGCCCGGGGCUCAGCUCCGGAAGUGCAUCGGAAACUAGCCGACUUGAGCGCGGUAGAGGAGGGUGGAAUUCCUGGUGUAGCGGUGAAAUGCGUAGAUAUCAGGAGGAACACCGGCGGCGAAGGCGGCCCUCUGGACCGUUGCUGACGCUGAGACGCGAAAGCGUGGGGAGCAAACAGGAUUAGAUACCCUGGUAGUCCACGCUGUAAACGAUGGGUACUAGGUGUUCGGGGUGUUGACCCCCUGAGUGCCGACGCUAACGCAUUAAGUACCCCGCCUGGGAACUACGGCCGCAAGGCUAAA